This 1026-nucleotide long non-coding RNA is filed under the name Mytilus galloprovincialis (Mediterranean mussel). Lineage: Eukaryota; Metazoa; Mollusca; Bivalvia; Mytilida; Mytilidae. The record is from RNAcentral.
GAUUCGGCAUAUCAAAGAACCCCAAUUAUUCAAUUUUUGAUGAAAUCACACAAAGUUCAAUUUUGGACCCUUUGGGCCCCUUAUUCCUAAACUGUUAGGACCAAAACUCCCAAAAUCAAACCCAACUUUCCUUUUAUGGUCAUAAACCUUGUGUUUAAAUUUCAUAGAUUUCUAUUUACUUAUACUAAAGUUAUGGUGCAAAAACCAAAAAUAAUGCUUAAUAGGGCCCCUUUUUGGCCCCUAAUUCAUAAACUGUUGUGACCUCAACUCCAAAAAUCAAUCCCAACCUUCUUUUUGUGGUCAUAAACCUUGUGCUAAAAUUUCAUUGAUUUCUAUUUACUUAUACUAAAGUUAUUGUGCGAAAACCAAGAAUAAUGCUUAUUUGGGCCCUUUUUUGGCCCUUAAUUCCUAAACUGUUGGAACAAAAACCCCCAAAAUCAAUCCCAACCUUCCUUUUGUGGUCAUAAACCUUGUGUCAAAAUUUCAUAGAUUUCUAUUCACUUAAACUAAAGUUGUAGUGCGAAAACCAAGAAAAUGCUUAUUUGGGCCCUUUUUGGCCCCUAAUCCCUAAAAUGUUGGGACCAAAACUCCCAAAAUCAAUACCAACCUUCCUUUUGUGGUCAUAAACCUUGUGUUAAAAUUUCAUAGAUUUCCAUUCACUUUUACUAAAGUUAGAGUGCGAAAACUAAAAGUAUUCGGACGCCGGACGACGACGACGACGACGACGACGACGACGCCGACGCCAACGUGAUAGCAAUAUACGACGAAAAUUUUUUCAAAUUUUGCGGUCGUAUAAAAAUGACAUAUCAAGGAAUUCAAUUUUAUAUAUAUCCAAUAUAGGACAAUGGUGUUGAUUAAAAAUUACACCACUCCAGACCCUUUUGUUUUCCACAUAAUUUAUAUUGCCAAUAAUUUCCAAGUUCCGGGUCGAAUCCGAUACCGAUACCAAUAGUAUAUUCACCUGUUACCUAUUACAUUAUCUGUACGUUUCUCAUCUGACAGGCACACCACCAAACAGUGUAUUUC